Molecule: ribosomal RNA, 465 nt
Filed under: Vreelandella stevensii
Lineage: Bacteria; Pseudomonadati; Pseudomonadota; Gammaproteobacteria; Oceanospirillales; Halomonadaceae
Description: partial 16S ribosomal RNA
Rfam family: Bacterial small subunit ribosomal RNA
Source: RNAcentral
CCUACGGGUGGCAGCAGUGGGGAAUAUUGGACAAUGGGGGCAACCCUGAUCCAGCCAUGCCGCGUGUGUGAAGAAGGCCCUCGGGUUGUAAAGCACUUUCAGUGAGGAAGAACGCCUGGUGGUUAAUACCCAUCAGGAAAGACAUCACUCACAGAAGAAGCACCGGCUAACUCCGUGCCAGCAGCCGCGGUAAUACGGAGGGUGCGAGCGUUAAUCGGAAUUACUGGGCGUAAAGCGCGCGUAGGUGGCUUGAUAAGCCGGUUGUGAAAGCCCCGGGCUCAACCUGGGAACGGCAUCCGGAACUGUCAAGCUAGAGUGCAGGAGAGGAAGGUAGAAUUCCCGGUGUAGAGGUGAAAUGCGUAGAGAUCGGGAAGAAUACCAGUGGCGAAGGCGGCCUUCUGGACUGACACUGACGCUGAGGUGCGAAAGCGUGGGUAGCAAACAGGAUUAGAUACCCGGGUAGUC